GAUGAACGCUGGCGGCGUGCCUAAUACAUGCAAGUCGAGCGAACGGACGAGAAGCUUGCUUCUCUGAUGUUAGCGGCGGACGGGGGAGUAACACGUGGAUAACCUACCUAUAAGACUGGGAUAACUUCGGGAAACCGGAGCUAAUACCGGAUAAUAUUUUGAACCGCAUGGUUCAAAGGUGAAAGACGGUCUUGCUGUCACUUAUAGAUGGAUCCGCGCUGCAUUAGCUAGUUGGUAAGGUAACGGCUUACCAAGGAAACGAUGCAUAGCCGACGUGAGAGGGGGAGCGGCGACGCUGGAGCUGAGACGCGGUCCAGACUCCUACGGGGGGGGGCAGUAGGGAGUGGGCCGCGAUGGGCGGAAGCGGGACGGAGCAGCGCCGCGGGAGUGAGGGAGGUGUUCGGGUCGUGGGGCUCGGUUAUUGGGGAAGGGCAGAUGUGGAAGUGGCUGGGCGGGUCGUGACGGUACCGGGGGAGAAAGCCACGGCUAACUACGUG
Molecule: ribosomal RNA, 497 nt
Filed under: uncultured bacterium
Lineage: Bacteria
Description: partial 16S ribosomal RNA
Rfam family: Bacterial small subunit ribosomal RNA
Source: RNAcentral